Molecule: ribosomal RNA, 1537 nt
Filed under: Escherichia coli
Lineage: Bacteria; Pseudomonadati; Pseudomonadota; Gammaproteobacteria; Enterobacterales; Enterobacteriaceae
Description: bacterial SSU rRNA
Rfam family: Bacterial small subunit ribosomal RNA
Source: RNAcentral
AAAUUGAAGAGUUUGAUCAUGGCUCAGAUUGAACGCUGGCGGCAGGCCUAACACAUGCAAGUCGAACGGUAACAGGAAGAAGCUUGCUUCUUUGCUGACGAGUGGCGGACGGGUGAGUAAUGUCUGGGAAACUGCCUGAUGGAGGGGGAUAACUACUGGAAACGGUAGCUAAUACCGCAUAACGUCGCAAGACCAAAGAGGGGGACCUUCGGGCCUCUUGCCAUCGGAUGUGCCCAGAUGGGAUUAGCUAGUAGGUGGGGUAACGGCUCACCUAGGCGACGAUCCCUAGCUGGUCUGAGAGGAUGACCAGCCACACUGGAACUGAGACACGGUCCAGACUCCUACGGGAGGCAGCAGUGGGGAAUAUUGCACAAUGGGCGCAAGCCUGAUGCAGCCAUGCCGCGUGUAUGAAGAAGGCCUUCGGGUUGUAAAGUACUUUCAGCGGGGAGGAAGGGAGUAAAGUUAAUACCUUUGCUCAUUGACGUUACCCGCAGAAGAAGCACCGGCUAACUCCGUGCCAGCAGCCGCGGUAAUACGGAGGGUGCAAGCGUUAAUCGGAAUUACUGGGCGUAAAGCGCACGCAGGCGGUUUGUUAAGUCAGAUGUGAAAUCCCCGGGCUCAACCGGGAACUGCAUCUGAUACUGGCAAGCUUGAGUCUCGUAGAGGGGGUAGAAUUCAGGUGUAGCGGUGAAAUGCGUAGAGAUCUGGAGGAAUACCGGUGGCGAAGGCGGCCCCUGGACGAAGACUGACGCUCAGGUGCGAAAGCGUGGGGAGCAAACAGGAUUAGAUACCUGGUAGUCCACGCCGUAAACGAUGUCGACUUGGAGGUUGUGCCCUUGAGGCGUGGCUUCCGGAGCUAACGCGUUAAGUCGACCGCCUGGGGAGUACGGCCGCAAGGUUAAAACUCAAAUGAAUUGACGGGGGCCCGCACAAGCGGUGGAGCAUGUGGUUUAAUUCGAUGCAACGCGAAGAACCUUACCUGGUCUUGACAUCCACGGAAGUUUUCAGAGAUGAGAAUGUGCCUUCGGGAACCGUGAGACAGGUGCUGCAUGGCUGUCGUCAGCUCGUGUUGUGAAAUGUUGGGUUAAGUCCCGCAACGAGCGCAACCCUUAUCCUUUGUUGCCAGCGGUCCGGCCGGGAACUCAAAGGAGACUGCCAGUGAUAAACUGGAGGAAGGUGGGGAUGACGUCAAGUCAUCAUGGCCCUUACGACCAGGGCUACACACGUGCUACAAUGGCGCAUACAAAGAGAAGCGACCUCGCGAGAGCAAGCGGACCUCAUAAAGUGCGUCGUAGUCCGGAUUGGAGUCUGCAACUCGACUCCAUGAAGUCGGAAUCGCUAGUAAUCGUGGAUCAGAAUGCCACGGUGAAUACGUUCCCGGGCCUUGUACACACCGCCCGUCACACCAUGGGAGUGGGUUGCAAAAGAAGUAGGUAGCUUAACCUUCGGGAGGGCGCUUACCACUUUGUGAUUCAUGACUGGGGUGAAGUCGUAACAAGGUAACCGUAGGGGAACCUGCGGUUGGAUCACCUCCUUA